Molecule: unclassified non-coding RNA, 231 nt
Filed under: fungal sp.
Lineage: Eukaryota; Fungi
Description: partial internal transcribed spacer region
Rfam family: Eukaryotic small subunit ribosomal RNA (bases 1-48)
Source: RNAcentral
AAAAGUCGUAACAAGGUUUCCGUAGGUGAACCUGCGGAAGGAUCAUUAACACUUUUUAUUAUUUUGUUUUUUUUCUAAAACAAAAUUUAAAACCCCACAAUUUUGGAUGAAUUUAAUUAAUUUAUUUUUUAAUUUAUUUUUUUUAUUAUAACCCUAUUAUUUGACUAACAUUUUUAUUUAAUUAUUAAAAAAUUAAAAAAACAACUCUUAACAACGGAUAUCUUGGCUCUC